RNAcentral lists this long non-coding RNA (1310 nucleotides) under Helianthus annuus (common sunflower). RNAcentral's name for it is "hypothetical non coding rna". Lineage: Eukaryota; Viridiplantae; Streptophyta; Magnoliopsida; Asterales; Asteraceae. The record is from RNAcentral.
CCUCCUCCACCACCACCGCCGCUUCCUCUCCCUCCUCCCCAUCCAUAACCUUCUCCCUUUCCACCACCACUACUUCCUCCUCCCUUACCACCACCUCCCCCUUCGCUCCCGCCACCGCCACCACCACCACCACCACCGCUGCCUCCUCCACUCCCACCACCACCUCCGCCGCCUCCUCCUCUUCCCCCUCUACGUCCAUGACCUUCCCCUUUUCCACUUCCUCCUCCUCCUCCUCCACCACCACCACUUCCUCCCCCGCUCCCACCACCACAACUUCCUCCACUCCUACUCCCACUCCCACUCCCACCACCACCUCUGCUGCCGCCUCCUCUCCCUCCUCCUCGUCCAUGAUUUUCACCCUUUCCACUGCAUCCUCCACCACCAUCAUUUCCUCCUCCUGUCCCUCCUCCACUACCAUCACCACAACUUCCGGCUCCACUCCCACCACCACCACCGCCGCCUCCUCCUCUCCCUCCUCCUCGUCCAUGACCUCCCCCCUUUCCACGUCCUCCUCCACCACCACCACCGCCGCCUCCUCCACUACCACCACCACAACUUCCGCCUCCACUCCCACCAUCACCGCCUCCUCCUCUCCCUCCUCGUCCAUGACCUUCCCCCUUUCCACUUCCACCUCCUCCUCCCCUACCACCACCAUUUCCUCUUCCGCUCCCACCACCACAACUUCCUCCUCCACUCCCACCACCGCCGCCUCCUCCUCGUCCAUGACCUCCUUCAUCACCGCCGCCUCCUCCUUUCCCUCCUCCACUACCACCGCCACAACUUCCGCCUCCACUCCCACCACCACCACCAGCACCACCGCCUCCUCCUCUCCCUCCUCGUCCAUGACCUUCCCCCUUUCCACUUCCACUUCCACCUCCUCCUCCCCCACCACCACCACUUCCUCUUCCGCUCCCACCACCACAACUUCCUCCUCCACUCCCACCACCGCCGCCUCCUCCUCGUCCAUGACUUCCUUCACCACCGCUGCCUCCUCCUCGUCCAUGACCUCCUUCACCACUGCCGCCUCCUUUCCCUCCUCCACUACCACCACCACUACAACUUUUGCCUCCACCCCCACCACCACGGCCGCCUCCUCCCCGUUCAUGACCUUCCCCCUUUCCACUUCCACCUCCUCCUCCUCCUCCACCACCACCACUUCCUCUUCCGCUCCCUCCACCACAACUUCCUCUUCCACUCCCACCACCACCGCCACCGCCGCCUCCUCUGGCUCCCCCUCCCCCUCGUCCACGACCUCCUCCACCUCCACCUCCUCCGCCACCACUACCAUCGCUGCCGCCUCCUUCCCUUCC